RNAcentral lists this ribosomal RNA (279 nucleotides) under uncultured bacterium. RNAcentral's name for it is "partial 16S ribosomal RNA". It matches the Rfam family "Bacterial small subunit ribosomal RNA", at positions 506 to 784 of the family's 1533-position model. The record is from RNAcentral.
UGCCAGCAGCCGCGGUAAUACGUAGGUGGCGAGCGUUGUUCGGAUUUAUUGGGCGUAAAGGGUCCGUAGGCGGUCUAUCAAGUCUGAUGUGAAAUCCCGGGGCUCAACCCCGGAACUGCAUUGGAAACUAGUAGACUAGAGUAUCGGAGAGGUAAGCGGAAUACCUGGUGUAGCGGUGGAAUGCGUAGAUAUCAGGUAGAACACCAACAGCGAAGGCAGCUUACUGGACGAUUACUGACGCUCAGGGACGAAAGCGUGGGGAGCAAACAGGAUUAGAUA